CCCCUCUCAGGGUUGUACCUGGAGACGUCCCAGCACUCUACCGGUCUCAAAUACAGGAAGGAAAGUCAGGCAGAGGCAUAUCCAUUCCAUUCCUAGCUUGGGCAGUGGCUAGCGAGUGGAAGGCAAUCUGCUACAAGU
Small nucleolar RNA from Tachyglossus aculeatus (Australian echidna), 138 nucleotides. NCBI's taxonomy places the organism in Eukaryota, Metazoa, Chordata, Mammalia, Monotremata, Tachyglossidae. The record is from RefSeq and is a predicted model, not a curated record.